RNAcentral lists this signal recognition particle RNA (266 nucleotides) under Candidatus Zixiibacteriota bacterium. RNAcentral describes it as "signal recognition particle sRNA large type". It matches the Rfam family "Bacterial large signal recognition particle RNA". Rfam says of the family: The signal recognition particle (SRP) is a universally conserved ribonucleoprotein involved in the co-translational targeting of proteins to membranes. Archaeal SRP consists of a 7S RNA and homologues of the eukaryotic SRP19 and SRP54 proteins. Lineage: Bacteria; Pseudomonadati; Candidatus Zixiibacteriota. The record is from RNAcentral.
CCGUGCUAAGUGGGGAGCUAGCGGUGCCCUGUUACCCGGAAUCCGCUAUACCGGGACUGAUGCCCACCCGAGGUCCGUCAGCAGCUUGCACGGCCCGGUUAAGUGGUGUUGACGGUCAGGUCCCGUGCAACUUGAGGCUGCCCAAUCCCGUCAGGUCCGGAAGGAAGCAGCGGUAAGCAUGUCUUUGAGUGUGAUGCGGGGAAGCUUGACCUGAGCUAACUGGCCGUACCGUUGUUAGGUCAGCGGGAUCGGAGGUGGGUGCACGG